RNAcentral lists this ribosomal RNA (486 nucleotides) under uncultured bacterium. Its description in RNAcentral is "bacterial SSU rRNA". It matches the Rfam family "Bacterial small subunit ribosomal RNA", at positions 954 to 1437 of the family's 1533-position model. The record is from RNAcentral.
GCAGAACGCGAAGAACCUUACCCACACUUGACAUGCCUCUUUUGGCUUUCAGAGAUGAUUGCCUUCGGUUCGGCCGGGGAGUGCACAGGUGCUGCAUGGCUGUCGUCAGCUCGUGUCGUGAGAUGUUGGGUUAAGUCCCGCAACGAGCGCAACCCUUAUCGUAUGUUGCCAGCAUUUAGUUGGGCACUCGUGCGAGACUGCCGGUGAUAAGCCGGAGGAAGGCGGGGACGACGUCAAGUCAUCAUGGCCCUUACGUGUGGGGCUAGAAACGUGCUACAAUGGGAGUGACAGUGAGCAGCGAGGUCGCGAGGCCAAGCUAAUCUCCAAAAGCUCUCUCAGUUCAGAUUGUAGUCUGCAACUCGACUACAUGAAGUUGGAAUCGCUAGUAAUCGCAAAUCAGCAUGUUUGCGGUGAAAUACGUUCCCGGGGGUCUUGUACACACCGGAGGUCGGUGGGGAGGGCAAGGGGCACACAGGGGGGGGGAUA